RNAcentral lists this ribosomal RNA (253 nucleotides) under uncultured bacterium. Its description in RNAcentral is "partial 16S ribosomal RNA". It matches the Rfam family "Bacterial small subunit ribosomal RNA", at positions 524 to 776 of the family's 1533-position model. The record is from RNAcentral.
UACGUAGGUGGCAAGCGUUACUCGGAUUUACUAGGCGUAAAGCGCAUGUAGGUGGUUAAGCAAGUCUGUAGUGUAAUCUCUCCGCUCAACGGGGAACGGUCUACAGAAACUGCUUAACUUGAGUGUGGCAGGGGGAGAUGGAAUUCACGGUGUAGCGGUGAAAUGCGUAGAUAUCGUGAGGAACACCAAUGGCGAAAGCAGUCUCCUGGGCCAAUACUGACACUGAGGUGCGAAAGCUAGGGGAGCAAACAGG